Molecule: unclassified non-coding RNA, 223 nt
Filed under: plant metagenome
Description: partial contains small subunit ribosomal RNA and internal transcribed spacer 1
Rfam family: Eukaryotic small subunit ribosomal RNA (bases 1-46)
Source: RNAcentral
AAGUCGUAACAAGGUUUCCGUAGGUGAACCUGCGGAAGGAUCAUUACCGAGUGAGGGCCCUCUGGGUCCAACCUCCCACCCGUGUUUAUUUACCUUGUUGCUUCGGCGGGCCCGCCUUAAACUUGGCCGCCGGGGGCUCACGCCCCGGGCCCGCGCCCGCCGAAGACACCCUCGAACUCUGUCUGAAGAUUGUAGUCUGAGUGAAACUAUAAAUUAUUUAAAA